CCAAACGACUCUCGGCAACGGAUAUCUCGGCUCUCGCAUCGAUGAAGAACGUAGCGAAAUGCGAUACUUGGUGUGAAUUGCAGAAUCCCGUGAACCAUCGAGUCUUUGAACGCAAGUUGCGCCCGAAGCCAUCAGGCCAAGGGCACGUCUGCCUGGGCGUCA
This 162-nucleotide ribosomal RNA is filed under the name Uncaria hirsuta. RNAcentral describes it as "5.8S ribosomal RNA". It matches the Rfam family "5.8S ribosomal RNA". From Rfam's summary of the family: 5.8S ribosomal RNA (5.8S rRNA) is a component of the large subunit of the eukaryotic ribosome. It is transcribed by RNA polymerase I as part of the 45S precursor that also contains 18S and 28S rRNA. The record is from RNAcentral. Lineage: Eukaryota; Viridiplantae; Streptophyta; Magnoliopsida; Gentianales; Rubiaceae.